AGAGUUUGAUCAUGGCUCAGGACGAACGCUGGCGGCGUGCUUAACACAUGCAAGUCGAACGGAAAGGCCCUUCGGGGUACUCGAGUGGCGAACGGGUGAGUAACACGUGGGUGAUCUGCCCUGCACUCUGGGAUAAGCCUGGGAAACUGGGUCUAAUACCGGAUAGGACCGCAUGCUUCAUGGUGUGUGGUGCAAAGCUUUUGCGGUGUGGGAUGAGCCCGCGGCCUAUCAGCUUGUUGGUGGGGUAAUGGCCUACCAAGGCGACGACGGGUAGCCGGCCUGAGAGGGUGACCGGCCACACUGGGACUGAGAUACGGCCCAGACUCCUACGGGAGGCAGCAGUGGGGAAUAUUGCACAAUGGGCGCAAGCCUGAUGCAGCGACACCGCGUGAGGGAUGACGGCCUUCGGGUUGUAAACCUCUUUCAGUAGGGACGAAGCGAAAGUGACGGUACCUACAGAAGAAGGACCGGCCAACUACGUGCCAGCAGCCGCGGUAAUACGUAGGGUCCGAGCGUUGUCCGGAAUUACUGGGCGUAAAGAGCUCGUAGGUGGUUUGUCGCGUUGUUCGUGAAAACUCACAGCUUAACUGUGGGCGUGCGGGCGAUACGGGCAGACUAGAGUACUGCAGGGGAGACUGGAAUUCCUGGUGUAGCGGUGGAAUGCGCAGAUAUCAGGAGGAACACCGGUGGCGAAGGCGGGUCUCUGGGCAGUAACUGACGCUGAGGAGCGAAAGCGUGGGUAGCGAACAGGAUUAGAUACCCUGGUAGUCCAA
RNAcentral lists this ribosomal RNA (773 nucleotides) under uncultured bacterium. RNAcentral's name for it is "bacterial SSU rRNA". It matches the Rfam family "Bacterial small subunit ribosomal RNA", at positions 8 to 798 of the family's 1533-position model. The record is from RNAcentral.